Molecule: ribosomal RNA, 559 nt
Filed under: Nematoda sp. ZTSP05
Lineage: Eukaryota; Metazoa; Nematoda
Description: bacterial SSU rRNA
Rfam family: Eukaryotic small subunit ribosomal RNA
Source: RNAcentral
GAUCUUGAAAUCCUACUUGGAUAACUGUGGUAAUUCUAGAGCUAAUACACGCAAUCAAGCUCCGACCCUCUGGGAACGAGUGCAUUUAUUAGAACAAAACCAAUCGGGCUCCGGCUCGUACGUUGGUGAAUCUGAAUAACUCAGCAGAUCGCACGGUCUUGCACCGGCGACGCAUCUUUCAAGUGUCUGCCUUAUCAACUGUUGAUGGUAGUUUAUGCGACUACCAUGGUUGUAACGGGUAACGGAGAAUAAGGGUUCGACUCCGGAGAGGGAGCCUGAGAAACGGCUACCACAUCCAAGGAAGGCAGCAGGCGCGUAAAUUACCCACUCUCGGCACGAGGAGGUAGUGACGAAAAAUAACGAGAUGGUUCUCAUUGAGGAUCAUUAUCGGAAUGAGUACAAUCCAAACCCUUUAACGAGGAUCUAUCAGAGGGCAAGUCUGGUGCCAGCAGCCGCGGUAAUUCCAGCUCUGAAGGUGUAUACCUACGUUGUUGCGGUUAAAACGCUCGUAGUUGGAUCUACGUUCGUGGGGUUGGUGUUCUCGUAUGAGAUCUACUGA